AAAAAGUGUUAACUCAGAACUUUCCAGUGAUUUCCCUUAAACACGAGUUUCACAGACACCUGGCCGGUUGAGAAGAACGUUGUCUGAACACAGAACGUGUUAACAGGGUAAACUCUACAGAAUAAAGGUGUUAACAGGGUAAACUCUACAGAAUAAAGGUGUUAACAGGGUAAACUCUACAGAAUAAAGUUGUUAACAUGUUAACAGGGUAAACUCUACAGAAUAAAGUUGUUAACAGGGUAAACUCUACAGAAUAAAGUUGUUAACGUGUUAACAGGGUAAACUCUACAGAAUAAAGU
Oncorhynchus mykiss (rainbow trout) is the source of this 299-nucleotide non-coding RNA. The record is from RefSeq and is a predicted model, not a curated record. NCBI's taxonomy places the organism in Eukaryota, Metazoa, Chordata, Actinopteri, Salmoniformes, Salmonidae.